AGGGGGCAGGGAGGACACGCUACAGCCAUUUUGGCCAUCUUCAGCUCGGGUGGGGCUGUAUUUGGAAUCCGUAACCUGAGGGGA
This 84-nucleotide small RNA is filed under the name Peromyscus maniculatus bairdii (prairie deer mouse). RNAcentral describes it as "GNAS antisense RNA 1 conserved region 1 (ENSPEMG00000002151.2)". The record is from RNAcentral. Lineage: Eukaryota; Metazoa; Chordata; Mammalia; Rodentia; Cricetidae.